CAUUGUUUUCGCCAUAGGCUUCACAUAUUUAGGUCUCUGCCUGUAUGUUGGUAUUAAGUGAUCAGACGAGCCCAGAGCUGCACGGGGGAUAGUACAGUCUGCGUCAUUUAGGAUGGUAUAGCAGUGGUCUAGAAUGUUGUUUUCCCUGUUACGACAGUCAAUGUGCUGCUUGGAUUUAAGGAGUUCGUGGUUGACUUUAGCUUUGUUAAAGUCCCCAAGAAUAAUGUGGGGUGAAGCUGGGUUCUUUAUUUCAAGUUUGUUUACUUGUUUAGCGAACCUUAGCAGUGCGGCAUUUGUGUUAGCCUGGGGAGGAACGUAGACAUCCGCGAGGAUGAAAGUGGCGAACCUUUGUUCAAAAGCAGUGACUCCAAGUCCGGGCUGCAGUGUGUGUUGAGCUCCGAGACGUCGGUAAACCUUUUUUCGUUGAUAUACAAGUAUAUUCCGCCGCAUUUUGUUUUCCCCGAUAGCUCCGUGAUGCGGUGCGCUCGGUAAAGUUGGAAGCCGGGAAGCACCACAGUGCCAUCUGGGACGCAUUCACAUAGCCAUGUCUCCGUGAAGCACAGGGUGGCAAAACGUCCGGUCUUCUUCUUGAGAACAUGAAGCUCGUCCAUUUUAUUGAGUAGAGAGCGUAGAUUUGGAAGGUGUAUCGAGCCUCACUUCCGGAGCUUGACCUGCACUCUGCCUCACUUUCCCCUAUGGCGUCGCCUUCAUGCGCUGUAGAUCACAGCCACUGCACUGGCUAGGAUUUACACCACAAAAUGGAAGAAGCUUUUUGUCCUGUCCUUGAAAAGUGUGAGUCCAUAUAUUAUUUUAUAAUUUCACUACAAUUACACAAAUGUUUAUUUCUGGUAAUGUUAAAAGACUGGACAUACACACUAGAGCCUUCACUCCUGAGUUUCAAAAAGCCAGUAAAAUUUGAAGUCUGAGCCCCAUUUUCAGGAAGCAUAUGCCUUAGAUAUCAUACCAAUUUUUGAAUUCAAUUGUCAUAAUGCGUGGUAUCAGCAUAAGGAACAAGACCUCAUCGUGUCUCAAAGCAAGUCACAGUUUGCUUAAUGCAUAAUGGAGGUAAAAGAGAGCUCUUUCUGUAGAUAAAAAGCGCAAUAGUCUAAUUCCUUGCUGAAGGCAUGGAAAAACUAGACAUUUGAACUAAGUCAUUGUGCUGUUAAAUAAUUGGUGUGUGACUCAGAGAGCAAAAUGUUUCUUUCUGAUGAAGGUGCAUUAAGGCAAGUUUCUUUUGUGAAGCAAAUGCAUCGCAUUAAAGGGUCUAACAUACUAAGAUCCCAAAUAGUGGGUGAUAAAUUGUGUGUUCUCCCCUAAACUGAUUACACGUGAUGUUGGCAACAUGACCGCCAUAUUUUAAAAGAGGGUUUUGCACUUUCAGUCACCAGGGAAAAUUUGGGAGAGCACCACAAGCACAAAACAAAGUUUUAAGCAAUGGAAUUGGAAGUACAACAUCCAGCCCCAAAUAAGUAUUUGAUAUUUAGCAUUGAACUGGCCCCCGCAGCCACCAUAAAUCAAACUGAAUCCAUACUGUGUCUCAAGUGUCCUCACUAACACCUUCUUCAUAUAGAAACAUAAUAAAACGUGAUUUGCCAGAGACAGUCAAAAUCCCAAAACAUUUAGUUUUAGUCCGUUGAAUAAAUGCUGGUCGGCCCUCGACCUAAAGUGAGGCUCCGAAAUUGCAUUGCUCAAUAGACAAUAUGUCACAUUUUUUAUUUGUGGCAUUUAAAAAAUGUUUACACAACCCAAGAAGAUUAAUUCUCCCUGUUGCAUCUUAUUUUGCCUGCGCCUCCUCGUCAUGGUUACGCACAGCAGUGCCAUUUGCACUUGCCUUACAGACACACAAUUUAAAGACAUAAAAAAGUCACCACGUUCGGUCUCUGUCUUGAUAAAUCACAUUGCGUGUGCUAAAUUAAUCUUUUUGCAUAUACUCCUCCAAGAACGUGCAAACAUUUCAGUGUCGGAUAGCAAUUUUGACAGACACAAUCCUGAGUGCGCCAUGUUCAUUAGAGCUUUGUGUGUUUUGUUUGCACCGAUUUGUGUCACUGUUUGUCCAUAACAAACACAAUGUUCAACCCUAAGGGUGUGGCUGUGAAUAUUCUCAUUCAUCCAGGUCAUUUGAUUCUCAGGGUAUUUAAUCGAUCGAUGUGGAUUGUUCUGGUUGUCUUCCCCUCUUAUUUGAAGAAGCCUGCUCAGUUGAAGGGCGAAACAAAUUCUAAGACAACCAGAACAGUCCACAUCCACGAUCCAUUCAAAGUCUUUAUUUUUUUUUAAACAUGUGACAUAAGAAGAACCUUUGGUAUGUAUUACAUAUAUUUAUCAUAGCUAAUAUUUUUUAAAUCAUAUUUAAAAAUUUUCACAACCUGUCAUUUUCUGCAACUGUCAUUUUUCUAAAUGAUUUCUGUCUUUGGCAAAAACAGACUCAUGCUGACUCCUCAACUCUUGGUUGUUGUUGUUUUCGCUGCAGUACACGAGAUAUUUCUAAUCAUAACGUGGCUGUCAUAUACUGCCCUGCAGUUCCAUUAUAGUAGCCUGGAGGGCUCUUUGCGUCUUCUCUUUCUCCCCCCUCCCCUCUCUGUUUUCAGCACCUGUCUCCAAUCAGCCUCAUCACCACUGGUAUUUAAGCCUGCCUGUUCCAGGAAAUCCUCGCCAAAUGUUUCCCUGUGUUCCUGACCCACGUCAUUCCUGCCAGCCGCGUGUUCUGUCCACUGCCUGCCACCUGUCCACGCCGCCGCCUGCCAACACAUCCAGGACCACCUCCAUAACCUUUACUCAAUAAACUGUUCACCCUUUUACAUCUGCCUCCAGCUGCUCUUGGGUCCAGCUACUCCCCACACGUGACAGUGGCGUCACCAGACUAUGCCUUGGGUGCUCUAAGAAUAGCUUCUGAUCUACAAGAAAUAAGGCCAAUGUCUAUCCGAUAGUAAUAUUUUGCCAGAAGCAGAUGAUGGAAUGUACUCUCAGUUGAAAGUCUGCGCACUCUGUAGCUCACCUCGGGCAAUUCCUGAAAACAGAAACCAAACCCCCAGGAAUGUGGUUUCAGAGUGCUUGCUGCAUUUCCCCCAUCCAGUUAUACAGUAUGUACUUCCAACCACUGCACCUUCAGAGCCAUCGCAUCACCACAGAAACUUGUUCCUGCCACAAAAAACAGUUUAUUUUGACAGGGAAGACUCCUCGUCCAACUGUGUUGAGUUUGCUAUUGGUGACCUACUCAGAUUCAUGGACAAGAAGAUGAUGAAUCUUCUUUAUUGUCAUGACAUACAUGCAUGGUCACAAAAUUUGACCUCACCUUUCAGCCUUUCACACUGAGUGAACACAGUAACUGCACAGUUAGUAGCGCACUGGAGCAGGGGACUACUUUAGCGCCCGAGGAACAAUUCAGGGUAUCGAUUUCUAGCUCAAGGGCUCAAGGACACCAGACCUGUGAGUCUAGGAGAUAUCGUGGGUGGAUGCGGGACAUUGCUGUAUUCAAGCCCACCUCAUUAUUCCGCUGGUUGAUGACCUUAACUGGGUUAUCCACGGUUGCAGACUGAUCUAACUCACAUGGCCACGACUGCCCCCAAACAACAAGGCUCAUGUAAACAUGAAUAUUGGAUUUUAGAUACCUCUUUUAGAAAUGAAAAACAAAAAAAAAAAAAAUGCAUAAAUAAAUAAUGCAGAUGAGGUUCCUUGCAGUAUAUCUUUUGUGGGACCAGUUUGCUGUAGAUAAGUAUGACGGACGUGGCUAAAGCAUGAAAACAGAGGGAGUAAUAUUGUAGGCUAUUUGAGGAAUAGAAUGACAUAACAUAGUCAUUGCCAACAUUUUCCUUGUUCUUGCCAAAACUUUCACAAAUCUGUUCCUACAGCUUAUGCAUUGGUAUGAAAGAAAUUAUUAUUUUUCUUUUCUGUUUUGUUUGUUUUUUUGGUCCAAGUUGUUCUUUAUGUAUUGAAUGUGUGAUCACAUAACUGUUUAACAUGCACUGAAGCUACAGGUUUUCAGAUUGAAUGAGAUUGACCAAUUCAAAACAACCAAUACAUUAUACAGUAUGCGUACUUAUGUGUGCUUAGAUCCCAUGUAGAAGUCAUUUACAGUGGCUUGGAAGUGCAAAACAAUAUAACGAAUUGUGAAACACUUUUACAAUUCAGAAAACAAAUUAACAAGAUCAGAAACAAAAGACGAAACAAAUUACAAUUGAGAAAACCCGGAAAGGGAACAUCCCAUUUCUGCUUCAACAUGAUUGGCUCCUGCAUCGUGGGAAGGGUAGGCUCCGCAGAUGUAACGAGAUGUGCAUCCCAAAUAUAAUAAAAAGGACAAACAUGUUUAUUGU
This is a long non-coding RNA of Phycodurus eques (leafy seadragon), 4307 nucleotides long. RefSeq lists it as uncharacterized. The transcript has 3 exons. NCBI's taxonomy places the organism in Eukaryota, Metazoa, Chordata, Actinopteri, Syngnathiformes, Syngnathidae. The record is from RefSeq and is a predicted model, not a curated record.